This 440-nucleotide ribosomal RNA is filed under the name uncultured bacterium. RNAcentral describes it as "partial 16S ribosomal RNA". It matches the Rfam family "Bacterial small subunit ribosomal RNA", at positions 338 to 795 of the family's 1533-position model. The record is from RNAcentral.
CCUACGGGUGGCUGCAGUAGGGAAUAUUGCUCAAUGGGGGAAACCCUGAUGCAGCGACGCCGCGUGGAGGAAGAAGGUUUUCGGUUUGUAAACUCCUAUCGGCAGAGAAGAAAAUGACGGUACCUAACGAAUAAGCACCGGCUAACUACGUGCCAGCAGCCGCGGUAAUACGUAGGGGGCAAGCGUUAUCCGGAUUUACUGGGUGUAAAGAGCGCGUAGGCGGGAUAGCAAGUCAGAUGUGAAAUCCUAGGGCUUAACCAUGGAACUGCUUUUGAAACUGUUCAGCUAGAGUGUAGGAGAGGUAAGUGGAAUUCCUAGUGUAGGGGUGAAAUGCGUAGAGAUCAGGAGGAACACUCGUUGCGAAGGCGGCCUACUGGACCGUAAAUGACGCUGAGGCGCGAAAGCGUGGGGAGCAAACAGGAUUAGAUACCCCGGUAGUC